This 75-nucleotide transfer RNA is filed under the name Gordonia phage GodonK. Its description in RNAcentral is "tRNA-Glu". It matches the Rfam family "tRNA". Rfam says of the family: Transfer RNA (tRNA) molecules are approximately 80 nucleotides in length. RNAcentral also lists the same sequence under 1 other name. Lineage: Duplodnaviria; Heunggongvirae; Uroviricota; Caudoviricetes. The record is from RNAcentral.
GCCGCAUUAGUGUAGUUGGUUAACACGCAAGAUUCUCAAUCUUGAGACGACGGGUUCGAGCCCCGUAUGCGGUAC